Molecule: unclassified non-coding RNA, 305 nt
Filed under: Papenfussiella callitricha
Lineage: Eukaryota; Phaeophyceae; Ectocarpales; Chordariaceae
Description: partial ITS2
Source: RNAcentral
GACACCACUCGCCCCUGUCCUUCUUCUUCUUAAAAACGAGAGGAGGGAGAGGCGGCGGACUCUGCGUGUUCCGGAGCGCGAGCUCCGAGUGCACCGAACCUCGUGAACGAGACCUCUUACUUUAUAAUAUAAAUACCGCCAGGGACGUGGCAGGAGUUGUUGACGGCGUGGUUGCUCUCUCUUGCGCGACACGACUCUCGACUCCACGACGCCUGUUCCGUAGGUGCGGUAGAGAGGAUCUUUCCGGUCGCCUCAUCUCGCCAUGCACACACUGCCUGGCGAGCUUGAUACUACCCCAACUUUCG